CUUGCAUGCAAAGUUUUAUGUGACGAUAAUAUAAAUUCUACUACUAUCAGGGAAAGUAGAGGAAAAGGUGACAAUUUCUAAUUUAUGCAACUUAUACUUCCUUUAUUUUCUUCUUCUGUUUGUUCUUUUUUGGGGGGAGGGUUUCAAGAAACGCUUGCAUGCAAAGUUUUAUGUGACAAUAAGAUAAUUUCUACUUCUAUGGGGCGUAUGUGUACAUAAUAUCAGUGAAAAUAGAGUCAAAAGAGAAGGGGAAAAAAUAUUUAUGCAUAUGGUUUACACUAUUUCCCCUACUUCCCCUUUCUUUCUUAUUUCUUUUUUUUUUGUGUGAGGGUUUUACCAGUAUCCAUCAUGAAGAAGAACCUGAUUUAUCAGAAGAUGUUUUGGAUUGCAUCAAUCUCUCCUUGUAUGAGAUUAUUGACUGAUUGAAGACCAGUAUCCAUCAUGUACUAGAGCCGGUUUAUCAGAAAAUACUUCAAGCAAGGUCAACUUGGAUUGUUAUACAUCGUUUCCUUCUUGUCUGAGAUUAUUGACUGAUUGAAGAGCAGUAUCCAUCAUGUACUAGAGCCGGUUUAUCAGAAAAUUAUUCAAGCAAGAUCAACUUGGAUUGUUAUACAUCAGUCCCUUCUUGUCUGUGAUAAUAUGGCAACUUCAAAUGGUUUGAACCAUCAACCAGUUACUGCUUGGUAAAACAGUGGACUCUGCAAGCAUCUUAUUAAAUAGACUAUGAUUGGAUAGAACAUCUACAAAACAAGCAACUUAGCAAGAUUAUUGACUGAUUGAAGACCAGUAUCCAUCAUGGACUAGAGCCAAUUUAUCAGAAAAUACUUCAAGCAAGAUCAACUUGGAUUGUUAUACAUCAGUCCCUUCUUGUCUGAGAAUGUUUGCAAUCUGUGUCUGCCCAUCAGUUACAAGUCCUGAGGUAUUCAUCAAUGAAAACAAGUUAAAUAACCCAUCCAUCCUUUGAAGAUUGAGAAA
Long non-coding RNA from Asterias rubens (European starfish), 975 nucleotides. RefSeq lists it as uncharacterized. Lineage: Eukaryota; Metazoa; Echinodermata; Asteroidea; Forcipulatida; Asteriidae. The record is from RefSeq and is a predicted model, not a curated record. The transcript has 6 exons.